Molecule: unclassified non-coding RNA, 2875 nt
Filed under: Eurytemora carolleeae
Lineage: Eukaryota; Metazoa; Arthropoda; Copepoda; Calanoida; Temoridae
Description: matrix metalloproteinase-2
Source: RNAcentral
AAUUACGCUUACAGUUCCUUUAAAUAACAUUUGGUAAGUUUACAAUCAACAAAAUUAUUUUGAAGGGAGGGUUCUCAGAUAUUCAGAGUUUGGAGCGUAGCGGGAAAGAUUUAUUAGGCGUUUCCUUGAUAUUUCCUGGGUUUAUUCACCGCAAUAAAGUCGGGAUGGGCCCUUGUACCGACCGGGAAAGCCAAGUGGUGGUGCAGGGGGGGGGGGGCUACCCCGGUCCGGCUCUCUCUCUCUUUUCUCAGUCACAGCUGACUCAUCUUUGUUUUGCCGUGUAUUGACCAAGAAUCUCAAGAACUGUGAUCUCUGAUGGAUCUUAGAAUAUGAGAGAAUUGAACUCUAUAUAUCUUCUCCUGAUCUUCUUAAACCUAUGUGUUGGGUUUCCUAGGUUACAGUUUGAUGGAGGGGGUAGAGCCAGGACGGAUAAAUGUGAAACAUUAAACUGCAAUCCUGAGACUAGAGUAAAGAGGAAUAUUAUUGGUAAUAGUGAAUUUAAUUAUCUAACUAAGUUUGGAUAUUUACCACAAUCUAUUCUUGAGACUGGAGCUUUAACAACAGAUGAUCAGCUCCGUAGUGCUAUCAGGAACCUUCAAGCAUUUGGUGGAUUGGAGCAGACUGGAGCUGUUGAUGCUCCGACCAGGAAUCUUAUGAGCAGGAAGAGGUGCGGGGUUCAGGACGUUUCUCUUGGAUUCACGAACAGGAGAAAACGUUAUUCUCUGCAAGGGCAAAGAUGGCACACCACCAACCUAACCUGGUCUCUCCUGCGUAUGGAGUACAUGAAUGAAUUGUCAAGACAAGAUAUUAUUGAAGAACUCAACAAAGCGCUCAAGGUUUGGUCCUCAAAUACUCAGCUUAGGUUCAACUUCCUGGAGAGAAGUGAGUUGGCGGAUAUUCAAGUUUCCUUCCAUAGAGGUUAUCACGGGGACGGAUAUCCAUUCGAUGGUAUCGGAGCUGUUCUAGCUCAUGCAUUCUUCCCUGGUCCGGGAAGGGGUGGAGAUGCUCAUUUCGACGAGGACGAGAACUGGACUAACCAGGGACGGUCUGAUGGAGAAGUUACGAGUCUUUAUGCUGUAGCUCUUCAUGAGUUUGGGCAUUCUCUAGGAUUGUCUCACAGCUCAGUAUCUGGGUCUGUAAUGUAUCCGUGGUAUGCUAGCACCAGUCCAAUGCUCUACCUACCUCAGGAUGACCGGGAAGCAAUUCAACAGCUCUAUGGAUCGCCCAGGCCUGGAACUAUUCCGGAGAAAGAUGAUAGACGGACAACAAUUUCAAUUCCUGAGAUAACUCUAGCUCCUUUAACUCCAGUCCGACCCACCCCUUCCCCUGAUAAAUCCGUCCCGGUAAAGUGUGAAACUAGUUUUGAUGCCGUGGCUGUUAUCCGGAGUGAGAUGUGGGCGUUUAAGGGAAGAUACUUCUGGAGGAUAAACAAGGAGGGAGGAACCAGAGAGGACCCUGUAGAGAUUGGUUCCUUCUGGUACGGUCUCCCCAGCAGUAUAGAUCAUGUGGAUGCAGUUUAUGAGAAACAGAAUCAUGAUAUCGUUUUCUUCGUCGGGAAGAAGUUCUACAUUAUGUCAGGGAAUUCACAGCUCAAACAUGGACCUCAACCUUUAACGAGAUUAGGUCUUCCGGAGUCCUUGGAGAAGGUGGACGGUGCAAUGAAGUGGGGAUACAAUCAGAAAACUUAUUUUUUCUCAGGAGAUAUGUACUGGAGGUUUGAUGACGAUGAGAACAUGGUUGAGCUGGAUUAUCCCCGAGAUAUAUCAAUGUGGAAGGGAGUCCCUUACCAUAUAGACGCUGUAUUCCAAUAUACAGACAAGAAAACAUAUUUCUUCAAGAACCGUAGUUUCUGGGAGUUUGAUGAUAUCAGGAUGGAGGUGGUGACAAGAACUCCAACUCCUGUAGGAGAACAUUGGUUCCAUUGCCCUAAAGAUCUUUAUGAUCCUGUCACAGGAUCUAAAUCUAAACUAUCUAGUCAAAUUUUCAUUUUUAUUUUUUUAUUUAGUUGGAUAGUACUGCUGUAGAUUAGACACCGAACUCCGCUUUAUAGAACGAGAAAGAAGUUGAUUAACGAGUUAAACAUAUAGUUAAAAUACUUAUCGUUUCUGACUUCAGGCAUUACUUACAUGUGAAAAUGUAUCGUUUUUUAGCCUACUGCAAUUGUGUGUCAUUUGUAUAUCUAAUAUAUUUAUGUAUCACAGUUACAUUUACACAUUACACCAUUUUAUAAUCAUGAAUUAAUAAUGUAUAACUAUACACAAUUUACACCUUUUUGUAAUCAUGAAUCAAGAAUGUACAACUAUUUGCAAUCCGUAAUCAAUAAUGCAUUACUAAGCAGAUAACACCUAUUUGUAAUAAUGAAUUACUAUUGUUUAACGAUACUUUUACAUCUACGUGAUUGAGUAAGUGUGUAUGAUAAUAUACACAUUACAACUAUCUGUAACUAUGUAUAUGUAACCUUGAAUCAAGUAAAAAAAACUACACAUUACACCUAUCCGAUAUCAUGAAUGUAGUUUGUAAAACUAAUUUCCAAAUUUGGAUUAGAAAAAUUGGUGGCAAGUACUCAAUUUCUUAACUCAAUUAGAACUGAAAAAGUCAAAACAAUUAAUUGCCAAAAUGUAUGUAAAAUCAAAGAUCUAAUCUUUUCAACUUAACGUGUUAAACAAAUGCUCCAAUCUAUUUCAUGCUAGUUUUGUUUUUAGUUAAAAAUUUCACUUUUAUGCUAAAUGAAAAUGCGUGAAAAAAAAACAGAUAUUAAUGCUAAUUUUUUUUAUUGUUUUUACUAAUGUGAUAUUUCUGCUUGUAAGGAAAACCUGGUAUCUUGGCCUAAGACUUUGAACCCGCUUUUAUGUUUUGCAAUAAAAUUUUAAAUUCA